AUACCCAAUCCCUAAACAAACGCCAUCAUCAAGGGACGUUUAGAAUUCAAACAAAAUUGUCAAGCCUUAAAAGCGGUAAUAAACGGUUGGCACUUAUGUGCACGUACUGAUUCUGCGAAAUAUCUAGAAGGUUUUGUUGGAGUGAAACUUUUAGCCUAAGAUUCUUCAGCAAUUGAUAGGAAACAGUGAUAUAAUAAUCAAACCGUUGCAGCUUGCAGCACUGCUAUCCUAACAGUUCUCCUGACUAGAUUAGGUACAGAUAGCAUGCCGAAUGUAGUGUUGUCACGCGAAUCUUUAUUGUUUUACCAACAGAGUAAAAUGAACGCAAAAGUACAAAGUCGAUCUCUUCCUGUUGUUUUUGAUGACACUUACCAAGAAGAUGGUAACCGGGGAUUAAAGAGUCCUGUAGCUCUCAGGACCAAAGCAUUGCAAGGAAGGAAAGCUGAAACAGACGGGAAAAUCAAAAGUGUGAAACCUCUUCAAGAUGCUGCUGCAUCACAUAAGAAAAUAUCAGAAGAUAUACUUCUAAACACCUCAAAUCACCUCUUACAAGUUGCUCCAGAGGAACAUCACCGUGAACUAAAUGGAUCUAAGAAAAAAGGAAGGGCAAAAGUAAAAGGGAAAGAGUCUACCGUCCUUCAAAAUGCUAGUAAAACUCAAAUAAAUGAGGUUGAGAAAAUGAAAAUUGGCAAGAAACGGGAUUCCAGGCAGAGAUCAAAACGAGAUACAAAAAAACAGUCAGCAGAAAAUAUACAUGAACCGGUAUACGAGCCGUCCCCUAAACGACUAAGGAUUGUUUCAAAUGCACAAAGCUUUACUACAAACAUGGCAUCUGUCAUUGGAGCUUCCUCAAACAUUUUCAGCAAAACUGAUAAACCUAAUCAAACAUUAGAGGAGAAUAUUGAUGCAAAGACCGUGUCUGAAUCUCCUGCAAUACAAAUGGCUACGAAACCUGCAGUGACCAUAGGUACCAAAACACCUGGAAGUACUCGAUCGGAAAAAAAAUUGGCGGUUUCAGCAAACAAUUGCACAGAGCUAGAAGAAUUCGCGGGUGUGCAAUCUGCUAAAAGCGGCCAACAAAAAAAAAACGAGUUCCAGCAGGCAGCGCUGACGGUGGGACAGAACUACCAACGUGUUUACCCAAACGUCCAAUGUCGACCACGAAAGGUUCAGUCUGCAGAAAACAACGCGAACAUAUCAGGACCAACAACAUCAUGGUUACUAGAUGAACCAUUUUCAGAUAAGAAGGCUGACAUCGAUACAACGGAAAGUGAAGAUGAGACUUGCUCCUCCUAUUCAGAAGUAGACGAGGACGUCAUUUUCUCCAGAAGUGGAAACAUUCUUGAGAAUAUAAGCUCGAAUAGUUCAAUUCUCCUAAAGGCUUUGACACGUCAAAACAAAAAGAGCUUUGGAGUCUUCCCUUUCUCCAGAGUUUGAUCAAUGGCAAAAAUGUAGGAAAACUUUGCCAGAAAUAGUACUACCUUCACCCAGGAAACAACUCUCCUUCGCUGAUGACUCUUUAGCGGCUGAUUGCGAUCUAAGCUCUAAAUAUACCGAUGAGCACACAAAUACCGAAGAAAAGUCCUCGAAGUCGUCUCUGAGCAGAAACUUGUUGGAAAAGUUGUCCUCUUCGAAAUCGGAGGCAUCCCGUAUUUCUGCAAAUGCCAGGACACCCAAAGAAGGAAAACAAAGUAAUGGAAGUCCUGCGUUGAAGAGAAAAAGAUCUGUUGGUUAUACAGAGACGCCUUUGCCAAAUAAACAACACCCAUCUUCCCUGACUGCAUCGCUAUACACUCAACCAACGGCAAACGCGGAUAGUGAUCUGAAUGUACGGGAAAGAAGUCCCACUCAACACUCUCAAAUGACCUAUACUGUAGAAAGUAUGCUUGGUGCCAACUGCAGGAUGACACCUAGUUCUAUAUCAGAUCAAUGCACCGCAGUUCCCAUGCCUACCCGACAUCCAACUACAUUAACCUUUACAUGUCUGCUAGUACUUACCGUGUACGAGCACGGCAAAUUGAGUCAACGUAAGAUUUCGUGGUUCCGUGGCUUUACCUGCUCCUACAGUUAUUUUCACUCUACAAACUUCUUUCCGUACCAUGAUCAUGCGUUUAAAGGGCAGUGUAGAGUUCAGAAGCGAUCCGUGUGUCCUAUGUCGCAUGUUGCUGAACUCAGAAGCCAAAUUAGUAGAACUGGAGGCCUGUCCUCUUUUUCAUAUUGCCAAUACAGGAAAAGAAGUUGCAUUGAUCCAGAUGACCGAAAUUUUAUCGGUCGGACCUGCUGGCCACCCUGGCUACAAUGGCGCUCCUGGCAAAGGUGGUCCUCCCGGCGGCCCUGGUUAUCCUGGCAAAGACGGAAAGCCCUGAUCCCCAGGAUACACAGGCGCACCAGGACUGCAGGGCAAACCCGGUAAGGAUGGUCUUCCCGGCUACCCAGGUGGCCCAGGACCAGUUGGACCCUAAGGUAAAAACCGGCCCUCCAGGCUACCCUGGCGGCCCUGGACCAAUUGGACCCAUAGGCCUCUCGGCCCUGUUGGACCCCAAGGCAAACCAGGGGCAUCAGGUUAUUUAGGCGGCCCUGGUCCCGUCGGACAUAUUUGACCCAUUGGCCCUGUAGGAUACCCAGGUAAAGAUGGCUAUCCUGGGAAGCCAGGAUCCGUUGGUGCCCCUGGACCUGUUGAUGCUCCUGGACCGGUGACCACAUACACUCAAGUCCAAGAAGACGCUCCAGCCUCCUCCUACAGUCCACCAGCUUACGAAGCCGCAACGGUUUACACGCAGACGUAGCCACAACAAGUUUACCAACAAGCCCAAAUUUAUCAGGAAGUGUCCCAACCCGUUUACGGUUAAUGGCGAUGCAUCAAAGUCGCAUUUCCUAGUUAUGGUUGGCCCACCACACGGUUUGCAAAGUGAACGUAACUAGGCAUUACUCACCAACCUUAUCUUCUUUUUCCUGUAAUGCCUAAACGUAACUCUUUUUUCUGUUUGUUGUUGUUAUGCGCAUGUGGGGUGUUAUAUGACUCAAUGUGACAUGCCUUGCACGGGGCUGUGAAUGCAAUACCCCCGAACUUAUUAUUUUUGCAAUAUUCACCUAUUGAACUCCUAUGAAAAUCAUUUUAGAUGAGGCGGCCUUGACUCAACGACAACAGAAAUGAAUGGCAUAUUACAGAAAAACAAAGUUAGAUGCAAGGAAAAACCAUGUCAACGUUCCACUUGUAGAAAAAGCAUGGAAAAUAUCUUGAUGAUCUAGCCUUUUUUAGUUCAUGUAGGUCACGGAACAGAUUCAUGUCACAUGAAAUCACUGAUCUCAAAAGCGGACAAUCGAAAAAAAAGGAAUGCGCAUUUUCUUGACUUCGUUUACCGAGUGUACCGAAUUAUCGUUGGUGGUUUCUUUUUGUACACGUACACCUCAUUAAAAAACGGAAACUGAUG
This is an RNA transcript of Daphnia carinata, 3431 nucleotides long. RefSeq lists it as uncharacterized. The transcript has 13 exons. Lineage: Eukaryota; Metazoa; Arthropoda; Branchiopoda; Diplostraca; Daphniidae. The record is from RefSeq and is a predicted model, not a curated record.